AACAGUUUAAAAGUGGAAAGAGCAAAAUACCUUUACAUGGAAAGAUAUACACAGUGCUGCUGAAGAACACAGUUUGGCUGAACUAUUGGUAGCCUUUCUCCUCUCCCCUGCUGUUCCCUCUCCUCCUGUAAAGGUGAGAUGGUGAUUAAGUGCAUGGACUCUGGAACCACACAGGUGGGUUUGAUUCCGCCCUCUGCUCCUUCCUGGCUUUGCAGUUGUGCUCAAAUGAUGAUCCUUUAUGUUCCUCACUUUACCUUAUCUGUAAAAUGAGGCUAAAGUAAUUCUUACCCAAAGGGGCUUUAGUAAUGCUUAGUUGAGUAAAUAUAUAUAACGUUUAAAAUAUAUAACAGUACUAAAUGUAAGAUAUUGCUAUUAUUUAUAGAUCCUAUAAAUACUUGAAAGAUUUUUUGUGUGAUUUCUUAACCUGCUAUGUAUAGUCCUUAGAAAAGAACCCAUAGAGAGGUACUUAUUUUUUGAUCAUGUUGAGGCAAAGAAAAUAUCAUUAUAGUUCUAGCCAGUUGGUAUUUCUUAUUCUGAUGAAACACGUAAAUGGCACAUGGGAAGUUUUACUAUUUAGGGAAAUAAAAGUCAGUAUAAAAUAAGAGCAGUUCAACAGUCAGUAAGUCAAUUCUAUGAAUUUUUUUUUCUAUGAUCAGCUUUUCCUUGCCAUGUUGAUCAAAUGCUGAGUGCAAUUGUUUCUUGGAAUGGCACUUAUUUGCAUGCUGAGAUACUGUAAGGCACAAGGUAACACAGGGCCCAAGAACCACACACUUUUUAGGUUGGAGGACCUGAUGGUUUAUCAAGGAUACCUGCCAAGAGUGAACAGUACAUGCAAAGUCACUUUCUUCCUUGAGUUUCUCCUAACAGGAAUUGAUCCCUAGCUUACACGGGUAUUGUAAAGCCUGGAUAAAAACUGUGAAAAAUGCUGAAACAAAACUAAAUCCUACUAAGCUAUCAAUGAGUACAUUUACCUCAUGUUGCUAAUUUUGAGUACUUUAUUGUUUGACCAAUUGUUCUGUGGUCACUUGGCUAUUUAAAUUAAAAUAAACUGUGAAGCACCGACAGAUGCUGGGUGCUGUUACAGGGUCUGGAUACAGAGUUGAAUGAGAGGAGUCCUGUCCUCAAUAGAAAGCAUUGUCUAACAGGAGAGAUACUCAUUAUCUUCAUCUAAUUAUAAUGCACAUGGUAAUACAUGGUGUCAGUACCAACACAUGGCUGGAAAGAUGAUACAAAGAGAGGGCUUAUUCUUCUGGAAAUAUGAGAUACAGGUGGUUUUGAAGGAUGACUAGAUGGUAACCAAGUCUUAACUCUAGGAGCAGCCAAACAGUACACAAUGUUUCUAGUCCAUGCAUUUAGUCUAUUGACGUGAGCGUGUGGGUUGAAGGAUGGAGACUGUCAUGAUGCAUGUGGCAGGAAAGAUGACAAAACCUUAAGCAAAGCAGUAACAAUGAAAAUGGAGAGGCAGGCGUUUAUUUAAUAUCUUGAGGCAUCAUCAGGACUUGAUGACUGGUGCUGCAUAGGUUUAGGGAAGUUGAAAUUGGAGAUGAUGUGUCUUGAAUUUGUGACGCUACUGAGAUGGGGAUGCAGCCCAUUUUUGUUUUGUUUUGCUCAUUUUGCUUUUGUCUGGCAAGAAUGUGUGUGCUGAUAAUUCAGACUGAGGUAGUUCAAUUUCGAAUAUCUUGUUACCAUGCAAUCAAAACCACCUUUACCUGUUACCUCUGGUGUUCGGCUCCUCACACUGCCUUGACUGACAGUUGCUCUUUGCCAUGCUUCUCAUAGUUUCCCUGGCUCAUUUUUUCCCUGUUCUACAGUGUGUCUUCAGAGCUCUUGGUUUUUAACGCUAGUGACAAGAAUAGACCUGACCCAACUAAAACAGAAACAGCUUUUUCUGUGAUUCACAUAAGACACACAUCUAGAAAACAGAACCCACUCUCUGGGCGACAGUAUUCCAGGUGACGGUUUGGGGCCUUGCAAUCUUCCAGAUCCCUAACUGGGCAUGAGAAUUAGCAAAGGAAAGUAAACAGACCAUUUCAGCACACCAGGAAACUCUCUCCAGUCACAAAUACAUUCCUAUUCCUGAGAAUUAUACACAAGUCAAUAAAGAUUAACUAAACAGUUGGAAAUACAGCUAAAUAGAAGCUGAGACUUUAAAAAUCGCUCAAGAAUUAUGCACAUUGCAAGCGGUUUGGCAAGAAGCUCCUGCACGUUUCCUUUUUGCUCUGUUUCUUAACACAGUUUCUUUAAAAACACAGACAAACGGAGAGCCUCUAUUAACGGAUACUUGAACACUUGAGCUGUGUUCACAGUUUGUGUCUUAAACUCAAAGCCUCAAUUCAGACUAGUGAUGGAUGAGUUUUUUCCUUUUUUUUCUGAUAAAAAAUUAUUUUUAAAGUUGUAAUAUAAAAUGUGAACAUGUAAAAAUGACAUAUGUUAAACAAAAGCAUAUUUCAAGAGUUUUGGAAACAAAUGAAAGCACAUCUUCCUUUGGUUUGUCAAUAUAUAUUUCAAUGUCAGUCUAACAGUAGUUUAAAGUACCUAUAACUGUGACUGGGGCACAUUUUUAGAAAAUAACUAUUCAAUUCAUGAACCCAAGGGAUCAAUGAAUUUUUAAAAAUUUCCAUUAACUUCCUCCUUUUGCUCCUGUUGUAAUUUGUGUAUUUUUUUCCAGGAUGAAGAUAGAAAAUAAAACUCCACUUAAUCAAUUUUGCUCUUUGAGUGUAGCUUCACUACAAAAGUAGAUGAAGUUAGGAGGUUUAAAUUAUUCCACAAACUGGAAUAAGGUUUCUAAUGAUUAUGUGUGUUUGGAUUUAUUUAUACCAGUUUCCCUAAUUACUAUUUAUAAUUUUAAAAUAGAGUUAAAUCAUAGGAACCAUAAUAUUUCAAUUCUGGAAUGCUUUUUGGAGGGAAAUAUAAACUAUAAUAAUUUGAUAAUUUUUGUAAGUAGUUAAAAGUCUGCUAUUUUAAAAUUACCAAAUACUUUAAAAUGUCUGUCUGGAAAAAACAAAACAAAACAAAAAAAACCCUUGUUUUUGGUUUCUAAAAGAAGUGAGCCAGUGUUGCUGGUUGUUCUGCUUUCAGUAAAAGUUUCUUUCUGGCAUAAUUGGUUAUCUCACUACUUAAAAAAAAAACAUUAAAUCUGAGAAUUUAACAAUUGCCGGAAAAAAAGAAAACAAACAGAAAAAUUUCAUCUUUAGAAGGUAGUUUUAAAAAGUCUUGAGAUCUGAGGAGUUCAUUUAAAAGUAGAUUUUAAAAACAUUUCAGAUUUGACUGAUGCUCUUAGCUACGAUUCCAGUUAACUUUUAAUAAUUUCAUUUUCAGUUAUUUUAAACUUGAAUUGUAUUAGCACAGACCAUAAUAAUAAUAAAAUUUGUUAUUUCAUACUAUUUUUAAUUGUUUAUUUCAGUUAUACUCUUUCCUCAGUUGAUGCUACUAUGCAGAACCAUUCUAAAUAAAUUGUCAACAAAUAGAAUUUUCCCUCAGAGGUUCAUCCUCCAUUCCUCAUUAUGACCCAAGACUUUGUGUAGUUCCUUAAAUAAAUAGGAGACCUUACUAUGGAGACCUCUUCUGAUGUUCUAAACUUUUCUUUCUUUCUCCCCCUUGAAGCUUUUUUUGCCUUUGGCUUCGUUCUGAACUCUACUCUCAGACUAUCCUUAAAGCACUAGUGACCAAAUGGCUUAAUAAUAGCUUCUACUUUCCAGGUAACAUCUUUCUAAAAAGCCAAAGCAAAGUAAUGCUAUGAAAGAAAAAAAAAUCAGGAAUGCUUUUUUUUUUUCUUCUUCUUUUUCAAGGGAAGACUUUUCAGUAUUUCCCGAAAUCAUACAUGUAGGAUUUGCUUUCUUGAUUUGGUAUCAUAUUUCCAUAGUACUCCCACCAUACACUUUAUGGGUCACAGCUUGAAGCCAUGCAGGAGUGCUAACUUUAUAGUCCCAUGUCUUGACUAUUGUGCAUAGUGCUGCAAUGAACAUAGGGGUGCAUGUAUCCUUCUGAAUCAAUGUUUUGUCCAGAUAUAUGCCCAGGAGUGGGAUUGCUAGUUUUCUGAGUACCUUCUUACUGUUUUACAUAAUGGUUGUACCAAUUUAUAUUGAAUACUACUCAGCCAUAAAAAAGGAUAAAAUAAUGCCAUUUGCAGCAACAUGGAUGCAGCUAGAGAUUCUCAUACCAAGUGAAGUAGGUCAGAAAGAGAAAGACAAAUACCAUAUGAUAUCCCUUACCUGUGGAAUCUAAAAUAUGGUACAAAUGAUCCUACCUAUAAAAAAGAAACAGAUCGUACACAUGGAGAGCAGACUUGUGGUUGCUGGGGGCAGGGAGGCAGAGGGAGUGGGAUGGAUGGGAAGUUUGGGGUUAGUAGAUGUAAACGACUAACAUUUGGAAUGGAUAAGCAGUGGGGUCCUACUGUACAGUACAGGGAACUAUGUCCAAUCUCUUGGAUUAGAACGUGAUGGAAGAUAGUAUUUUAAAAAAUGGGCAUAUGUGUGCCUGGAUCACUUUGCUGUACAGUAUAAGUUGAAGGAACAUUGUAAAUCAACUAUGCUUUAAUAAAAAUUAAAAAAAAAGAUUGAGAAACACUACUCUAGGGCAAUGUCAGGUUAGAAAGCAGAUAAUUAACCUGGCUGAAAGUCUUUCCUUUUAAUCUGGAGUCUGAUUUCUACCAAGGGUGGCACAGCUUUUAUGAAAUGGUGUACUCUCUUUUUUCUUUGGUAGAGAUAAAAGAUUAAAUAGGAGUUCCCAUUGUGGCUCAGUGGCUAACAAAUCCGACUAGGAACCAUGAGGUUAAGGGUUUGAUCCCUGGCCUCACUCAGUGGGUUAAGGAUCUGGAGUGCCGUGAGCUGUGCUGUAGGCUGCAGAUGUGGCUCGGAUCUCAAGGUGCUGUGGCUCUGGCACAGGGCAGUGGCUAUAGCUCUGAUUAGACCCUAGCCUGGGAACCUCCAUGUGCUGCGAGAGCAGCCCUAGAAAGAU
RNAcentral lists this long non-coding RNA (4956 nucleotides) under Sus scrofa (pig). Its description in RNAcentral is "lncRNA (ENSSSCG00000046186.1)". The record is from RNAcentral. Lineage: Eukaryota; Metazoa; Chordata; Mammalia; Artiodactyla; Suidae.